This 3141-nucleotide long non-coding RNA is filed under the name Oryza sativa (Asian cultivated rice). RNAcentral's name for it is "long non-coding RNA (OSAT_LNC000190)". The record is from RNAcentral. Lineage: Eukaryota; Viridiplantae; Streptophyta; Magnoliopsida; Poales; Poaceae.
UUUCACUUCUCCUCUCUCCCUCCUCUCUCUACACCGGAGCGGCGGCGCCAUCGGCGGCGGCCGGAGGAGGUGGCGGCGCCGUCGCGGGGCCCCUCGCCGGCGCGCGUGCUCACCCUAGGCAGAGCGCGCCGCCGUCGAGCGGCCUUGUGACGGUGUGGUCGGCGCCCUCUCGUCUCCCCCCGGCUUCGGCGACGGCCGGCGACGGCGGUGGAUGGGGAAACACGGCGGCGCCAUCUUUUCUUUUCUCUUCUCUUCUCCCCCCACCGUCUCUAGCCCCCACCGCGAAGUGAGAGAAAGAGGGCGGCGGCCGAAGGAGAUGGCGGCGCCGCCGCGGCCCCCCUCGCCGGCACGCGCGUGCACCCGCGGGUGCGCGCACGGCCGUCGAGUUGCUCCUAGGUGGUGCCUCUUUGCCCCUCCCCCCUCCGUUGCCGGCGUCAACGACGGCCGGCGACGAGGUAAGAUUAGGGUUAGGGUUUUUCUUUUCGUUCCGUCGGAUCGUUUGCUUUUCUUUGCUUUUCUCUUUGGAUUUCUUUCCCGAACCAAUCUAAACACUAGGGUUGCUCUGAUACCAUUGUUAGUGUUGUCUAUUAGAUCACCUAGGUUUAGAUCUAGUCGGGUGGUUCUAUUUGCGAUGGAUGAUUGAACAACAAUAGAGAAUAAGGGAAAGGGUUUAGGGAUGUGACCGGUUGACACGUUGGAUGAAGAGGAAGUCCCGGCCAUCGUCGUUGUCGUCGCUCUGCUUGACAUGGGCGGCGGCGGUGAUGGUGGUCGUGACAGCGACGGUGCUGCGCGGCAGUGGUGGUCGUAGGGGAUCCCGGCGAGGUCGUGGCGCGGCGGUGGAGUCUUCCCGUCACUGGCUGCGCCCCCUCGAUCGGUUAGGCCUCGUUCGGCACGUGGGGAGGGAUUUCCCUGGGGGAAACACCACCAGUCCAGGAUUGGGUGGAUCCCCUCCCACCACCCAAUCCACUUCCACGUUGGGUGUUAAACCCCCAUGCUAUUCGGAUGGGGAAAACAGGGGAAAAGCAGGGAAAGCAGGGCAAACACAUCUCUUUGAAUAAAAACUGAGCAUAGAUAGCACAUCUCAACUUACGAAUAGAAUCAAACUAUAAAAUCACACAAAAUAAUACGAAAUUUCAAAAAAAAAAAAGAGCUGAUAACUAAUUUCUACAAUGGCAUGUACAGAAGAAAACCAAAAUUAAGAAAAUAGUUCAUUAAAUAAAGAAAAUGAAAAUACUGACAAGCUUUUAAACGAUAGUUAACACUGCUAUUCAAUGUAGCAGUUGACAUUCGCAUGUGGUAAGUCAAUCUGUGCCCUCCAAACAAUAUUACAAGCAUAUAUAGUAGUUGCCAAUGUACCCCACGCAUUUAAAUUCUAGUGAUUAGCAAGUGACAUUAACACCUAGAACACUGAGUACAACCACAAACUAGGUUCCCAGGUUCCAAAAUCGAUUUGUCCACAAAUUUAAGAAAUGAAGAUGGUAACUGCAUGCACUGUUGUCCUAUCUUUGACACCAUUUGAUCUUCACCUAAUAAUAUUAGCUCCAUGACCUGAGAGGAGAAAAUGAUGAGCAUUGUGACCCCAAGAAAAGAUUAAAAAAAAGACACAGACACGGCAGCCAAAGAACAGCUGUUGCAGCAUCCAGAAACAAGACUCUGAUAAGUUUUUACAGGUGAUCACAACAACAGAAAACUUCCAAUGUAGAACAGCAUCCAGAAAAUGACAGCACAUUAGGAGGAGAACAAUGUUGGCCCACAGAUAAGUUUAUUUUACAAAGAUAUGACAUAGCAGGACUAUGGUAGCUUAAUGCCGACAGUAAAGCAUAAAAAAAAAGUAUAGAGAAGUUGGACUGAUGACAACAAUGUCAAGCUCAACAGGACUACAGGAGAAAUGAAAAAAGGCUGAUCACUAUCAUCAUGCUAUUCAUGUAUAUCAACAUAAAUGAAACUUUAGGCAGAACAUACCUCACAAAAGCACCCAAUCUCAUGUAAAUCAACCCUGCCAAUACAAGAAAACCAGGUAAGUAGGGGAUCAGAAAUGUCAACCAAGUAAGACAGCAUGCUAAGAUGACACUAAUGAAAAUAAAAUAUCAUAAUCAGAAAUGUUACUCACCAUCUGAAGUUUCAGCCACAAAAUUCUAGCGGUUGGAUUAGCACUGAUAAAGAUUUCUCUGUUCUGAGCAUCCUUAAAAACACUAAAUGACCGGGCAUUUUCCUCAGGGGAUAGUUCAUUCAUUGUGCUCAAGACAUCGAUACAUUUCUUGAUUGAAAAUUCAUCAACUUGCUUUGUAGCCUCUUUUUCCCGUACCAUUUCCUCCUCAGCUUGUUUAUGUCACAGCUCUAUGUAUUUCUCCAUUGCAUCAGCCACAUUCCCAUUUUGCUUAUGUCUUUUUGGGUUCUUCUCUCUUUUAUCCUCAGGAGGUUUCCUUGAUGUACUGACAGUUUGUCUUCUUUGAUUUAACUGAUUUGACACUUCAACUUUUGAUUGUUCACUUGCUGUGAUUGGAUCAUCAUUGUUUAGGUCAUCUUGAUUGUUCUCCAUCAGCAAAUCAUCAGCACCUACUUGUGUAACAAUAUCAUCUUCUGUGUUUCUUGACUGAUCUAGUGUAUUUGUUGGCUGAAGGGAUGUAAAGUUCAAGAGGCCCUCGGCAGUUUGACCUAUUCAAGAAAAGAAAUGCAUGCCGAUAACUAAGUGAAAAGUAGUUCGAAUGGUUUAUGGAUAGAUCUGAGAAUUAGUAAAUUACCAUCAUAUAGUUCUCCUAAAGCUUCAAAGAUUGGAAAUGGUUUGUUGCGGAACUUCUUAGCUCGAGGGAAAGACUGUUAAGUUUUAGAGAUGAAAAAGAAACUGAGUUAAUUAUGAGGCAAAAGGAGAAUAUAGAAAGUAAAGGAACAUGACAGAACAUAACAAGAUAUAUAUGAGGAGAGACAAUUCAACAAUUGCACGGAAUUCAAUAGUUCAAGAAACUUACAUGAAUAAUAUUAUCCCAAACUGCAGGAUCAUCAGCAAUAAUCAUCCCGAGUUUUUCGUCCCAAGAUGCCCCACUUUGUGUUCUUGCAUCUUUCAAGCACCUGUAGUCUCUCUUAAGCUCCUUUUCUUUAUCUUGAAUUUGUCCUUUUGAAAAACAAAUGUGCGGGAACUUAUCA